GAUUAUAGAAGAUACUUUAGCGAUGAGUUUUAUAACAGAUUGUGGAUUGGAUGAACCAUAUUCAUUUGCAACAUGAUGUUUAGUACCAGGACUCUUCCCUGUCAUUGGUUUCCUUCAAGAAGAGAAAUACAGCACAGUGCCCGGUCCAGUGGCUUGAUUUGAUGUUUCUACCUGGAACAUGUGGUGUGUUCUCAGUGCCUGUGUCUGAGUCAUAUCAUUGAUCUUUCAUUUAUUUUCUCUGAUCCUCACCAUCCAUCUCCAUCAAGAGCAAAGGAGGAAAGAUCAAAGAAGGUUAAUAUUAGUGUGCAUGCUAUGUGCUAAUCGAAAUUAAAUUGCUUUCACAAACCUUUUUCCCCUGAUCCAUUGCACAAAUGCCUUAACAUAAAGCUAAACAUCUGUUGAGUAUGGAUGUCCUCUGAAAUGGGUGAUACAUGAUUAUAAAACAGUUCAGGUUGCUUCUAUGAAAGAAGCAGUAUUACACGUAGUGCAUUAAAUGAUGAAAUUGGAGCUUAGAGAUCUGAACUGGUAUAUUCUGGCU
RNAcentral lists this long non-coding RNA (538 nucleotides) under Vombatus ursinus (common wombat). RNAcentral describes it as "lncRNA (ENSVURG00010015126.1)". The record is from RNAcentral. Lineage: Eukaryota; Metazoa; Chordata; Mammalia; Diprotodontia; Vombatidae.